GGGUGUCAAUUUGCAAAAAAGCGAAAAAAAGAAAACAUUUUGGAAAAUACGCAAAGCGCGACGGGCAAAAAUCGAAGUUGAAAAAUAAAUGGAAGACAAUUUCGUCAAGCCAGAAACGAGAGGCCAAUACACUGAGAAACAAAUGGACUAAAAAUAGGGUAAAUUCUUAAAAAUAUUAAGAUAGAGAAUUAUUAAUUAGGAGGCAAAGUUAAGGGUUUAAUUUCAAGGGUUGUAUAGUUCUGACUACUUUCAGAGGAUUUUUAUUAUAAAGAGCAGAGCUUGAUCUUUACAAUUUAUUCUUUAAACCUUUUAUAAUUUUAAAAUAUUAAAUUUGUAUUUAAUAAAUAUUAAACAACAUCUUUUUCAUUUUGCACUCUGCUUAGCUGCGGCUCAGUUAAGUCCAAUGGCAGGUCCUGUUUGUUUAUGCGGCCUAUAUGGGUUCCAAAUAAAAAAUGGCUGCCAAAGGCAGAGCCACACACUCACACACACAUGUGUGUGUGCUGGUGUGUGACUGUGUAAUAAGAUAUUUUAGUGACUUGUGUCACAGCGCAUGCAAAUCCAUCAAAUGUGCUGCUGCUACUGCCGCCACCCGCCGAUAUCCAUCCAAAAAGAAGCUCCCUUUACUUAUUUGUAAUGGGAUCACAAACACACUUCAAUUUCAUUUGUGACGCUUUACGCACAAACACACUGCCAAAAAGGAGGAGGAUGGAUGGGUGGUUUGGCGAGAUGAGAGCUCAGAGUCAGCGUAUCAAUCACAAAUUAAUGAGAUGUGAGUGCCGCACAGUUUCAGGAGCUCAGACCGAAAGAAGAACUCCAAACUGACAGUUUGCCAUUUUGCCGGAAAAGCUGGAAAAGUGAGUUGAAGUGGUGAAGAAGUGGGGAAGUACGAAAUUUACCCAUGAAAAUGUCGCCCGACCAAAUUACAUACAAUUCAUCACAUUUCAUUUGGCAGAGUCGAUCCAGGACUCAGAGUACAGUCCCCCCUUACAGUCUUCUCCCCAAAACAUAUAUAUCUUUUCUAUUUCUGUAUCGACUGCGUAUACGUAUUAGUGUUCGGUUACUGUUUCUGUUUCAGUUUUGAGGUCCUGGCAAAUUGGUCAUGGCCCGUGUUUAAUGGGCUUUGCGACAAAGGCUUUCAAACGAGCUUUGUGCCACACAGGAAUACUCGCAGCCCCACAAAAUCUCCAGCAUGUGUCGCCGGCUUUGUCUGUCCAAUUUGCUUUCCAAAUCCAAUUGCUUGAUAUGUGUACAUAUAAAUAAGAGUAUGUACAAGAUAUUUCAAAUACACGGCAGGGCGAUAAAGUUUUCUGCACCAGGACAACCAGGACGAGGAGGAGGACAAGGAUGAGGAUGAGGGCACACCCACAUCAUCGAAUAUGCAUUAUUUUGACAUUAGCAUAAUUUACUCUGCGGCAAAAUGUCGCGCACUCCAGAGGAUGGGAAGGAUGAAGAGCCGUAUCCUGGGACUCAUCCUUAGACAUCCUGACGGUCUGUCAUUGGCACUGAGGCAGCACGCUUUGUAACAAAUAGGAUUCCAUCAUAAUAAUGUUCUGACUGCCUUACCCUUAGCUCAAUAUAUAUAUUUAGAAUAUAUACAAGGAAUAUAUAUAUAUAUACUUUUGUUUGUGUAUGUGUCCUGUGACAAAUACGACAGGAUUCGCAAUUGCAAAUAUUUCAAACUCAAACACACGACACAUCCCUCUACUAUUCCCUGGCUCGAGCUUUCUCCGGUUUUCCUCUUUUUUGGCUUGGGGAUUUGCUUUCAGCUUUCUGCCAUUCUGCUGAUGCUCGGCAAAAUUGAUGACUAUAGUGCGUGAUGUCAUUUGCAUGACAGUUGAGCAUCCGCAGAAUAGCAGCCAGAACAGAGGGCAGAGUUACAGGGGCCAGGGGCUGAAGAACUUAAGCGAAAAGUAUCUACAUUUAAGAGAUAUUCGAGACUGCUAAGCAUAGGAUUGUAGAUAUAGAUUUUUUAUACAAACUAGGGACCUGUUUAGUUACAAUUUUCAAGUUAGUUGAGAACUUUAAUAGCUCUAAAUUAAAACUAUUAUAGAUCAUGUAUUAAUAUUUCCAUAAAUAUAAGUCCAAUCCUAGUUCCAAGAACUUGAUAUACUCUUUAUAUCUCUCACUUUUAUUUCCCCAGUCAAUUAACAUUUCAAUGUCAAUUUCCUACUGCCUACUGGAUGGGGGCAAGGCAACAAAUCUCGGGCAGCCAGUGGAAAAAGAAAAAUUUGUUCUUGACCUAGAAACAAAGGCAGGCACCAGGCAGCACAGGCACAAAACGAUGACGACACCAGACAGGGGAUUCCCCACCAACGACGACGUCACCAAAAAGGCCAGGAC
This is a long non-coding RNA of Drosophila ananassae, 2340 nucleotides long. RefSeq lists it as uncharacterized. Lineage: Eukaryota; Metazoa; Arthropoda; Insecta; Diptera; Drosophilidae. The record is from RefSeq and is a predicted model, not a curated record. The transcript is spliced from 2 exons.